UGGGGAAUUUUGGACAAUGGACGAAAGUCUGAUCCAGCCAUGCCGCGUGAGUGAAGAAGGCCUUCGGGUUGUAAAGCUCUUUCGGCGGGGACGAUGAUGACGGUACCCGCAUAAGAAGCCCCGGCAAACUUCGUGCCAGCAGCCGCGGUAAUACGAAGGGGGCUAGCGUUGUUCGGAAUUACUGGGCGUAAAGCGAACGUAGGCGGUGUUCCAUGUCAGAGGUGAAAGCCUGGGGCUCAACUCCAGAAUUGCCUUUGAAACGGGGACGCUUGAGUCCGAGAGAGGGUGGCGGAAUUCCUAGUGUAGAGGUGAAAUUCGUAGAUAUUAGGAAGAACACCAGUGGCGAAGGCGGCCACCUGGCUCGGUACUGACGCUCAGGUUCGAAAGCGUGGGGAGCAAACAGGAUUAGAUACCCUGGUAGUCCACGCCGUAAACGAUGUGUGCUAGACGUUGGGGAGCCUAGCUCUCCGGUGUCGCCGCAAACGCUUUAAGCACACCGCCUGGGGAGUACGGCCGCAAGGUUA
This 524-nucleotide ribosomal RNA is filed under the name uncultured bacterium. RNAcentral describes it as "bacterial SSU rRNA". It matches the Rfam family "Bacterial small subunit ribosomal RNA", at positions 355 to 896 of the family's 1533-position model. The record is from RNAcentral.